Small RNA from Flavobacterium succinicans, 78 nucleotides. It matches the Rfam family "Flavo-1 RNA". The record is from Rfam. NCBI's taxonomy places the organism in Bacteria, Pseudomonadati, Bacteroidota, Flavobacteriia, Flavobacteriales, Flavobacteriaceae.
CUCUAGCCCCGAUGGCAGUGGCAUCCUUUGCCUUUUUUCUUUAAAAAGGCAAAGAUAUAACGGACAGCGGGACUAUUG